CCUACGGGCGGCAGCAGUGAGGAAUAUUGGUCAAUGGGCGAGAGCCUGAACCAGCCAAGUCGCGUGAAGGAUGAAGGAUCUAUGGUUUGUAAACUUCUUUUAUAAAGGAAUAAAGUGAGGCACGUGUGCCUUUUUGUAUGUACUUUAUGAAUAAGGAUCGGCUAACUCCGUGCCAGCAGCCGCGGUAAUACGGAGGAUCCGAGCGUUAUCCGGAUUUAUUGGGUUUAAAGGGAGCGUAGAUGGGUUGUUAAGUCAGUUGUGAAAGUUUGCGGCUCAACCGUAAAAUUGCAAUUGAUACUGGCAGCCUUGAGUACAGUUGAGGUAGGCGGAAUUCGUGGUGUAGCGGUGAAAUGCUUAGAUAUCACGAAGAACUCCGAUUGCGAAGGCAGCUUACUAAACUGCCACUGACAUUGAUGCUCGAAAGUGUGGGUAUCAAACAGGAUUAGAUACCCGUGUAGUC
RNAcentral lists this ribosomal RNA (460 nucleotides) under uncultured bacterium. Its description in RNAcentral is "partial 16S ribosomal RNA". It matches the Rfam family "Bacterial small subunit ribosomal RNA", at positions 338 to 795 of the family's 1533-position model. The record is from RNAcentral.